This 450-nucleotide ribosomal RNA is filed under the name uncultured Glomeromycotina. RNAcentral's name for it is "SSU rRNA". It matches the Rfam family "Eukaryotic small subunit ribosomal RNA", at positions 569 to 1024 of the family's 1831-position model. Lineage: Eukaryota; Fungi; Glomeromycota. The record is from RNAcentral.
AGCAGCCGCGGUAAUUCCAGCUCCAAUAGCGUAUAUUAAAGUUGUUGCAGUUAAAAAGCUCGUAGUUGAAUUUCGGGAUCAAUUUGUUGGUCGUGCCAUUGUACGUACUGGUAUUAUUGAUUCCUACCUUCUGACGAACCAUGAUGUCAUUAAUUUGGUGUCAUGGGGAAUCAGGACUGUUACUUUGAAAAAUUAGAGUGUUUAAAGCAGGCUCACGCUUGAAUACAUUAGCAUGGAAUAACGAAAUAGGACGUUUGAUUCUAUUUUGUUGGUUUCUAGGAUCGACGUAAUGAUUAAUAGGGAUAGUUGGGGGCAUUAGUAUUCAAUUGUCAGAGGUGAAAUUCUUGGAUUUUAUUGAAGACUAACUACUGCGAAAGCAUUUGCCAAGGAUGUUUUCAUUAAUCAAGAACGAAAGUUAGGGGAUCGAAGACGAUCAGAUACCGUCGUAGU